GCGUAACGCGUGGGAAUCUGCCCUUGGGUUCGGGAUAACAGUUGGAAACGACUGCUAAUACCGGAUGAUGUCUUCGGACCAAAGAUUUAUCGCCCAAGGAUGAGCCCGCGUAGGAUUAGCUUGUUGGUGAGGUAAGAGCUCACCAAGGCGACGAUCCUUAGCUGGUCUGAGAGGAUGAUCAGCCACACUGGGACUGAGACACGGCCCAGACUCCUACGGGAGGCAGCAGCGGGGAAUAUUGGACAAUGGGCGAAAGCCUGAUCCAGCAAUGCCGCGUGAGUGAUGAAGGCCUUAGGGUUGUAA
This 303-nucleotide ribosomal RNA is filed under the name uncultured Sphingomonas sp. RNAcentral describes it as "bacterial SSU rRNA". It matches the Rfam family "Bacterial small subunit ribosomal RNA", at positions 108 to 428 of the family's 1533-position model. Lineage: Bacteria; Pseudomonadati; Pseudomonadota; Alphaproteobacteria; Sphingomonadales; Sphingomonadaceae. The record is from RNAcentral.